UGGGGAAUUUUGGACAAUGGUGGCAACCCUGAUCCAGCAAUGCCGCGUGUGUGAAGAAGGCCUUCGGGUUGUAAAGCACUUUUGUCCGGAAAGAAAUCGCCCUGGCUAAUAUCCGGGGUGGAUGACGGUACUGGAAGAAUAAGCACCGGCUAACUACGUGCCAGCAGCCGCGGUAAUACGUAGGGUGCAAGCGUUAAUCGGAAUUACUGGGCGUAAAGCGUGCGCAGGCGGUUGUGCAAGACAGAUGUGAAAAUCCCCGGGCUUAACCUGGGAAUGGCAUUUGUGACUGCACGGCUAGAGUGUGUCAGAGGGGGGUAGAAUUCCACGUGUAGCAGUGAAAUGCGUAGAUAUGUGGAGGAACACCGAUGGCGAAGGCAGCCCCCUGGGAUAACACUGACGCUCAUGCACGAAAGCGUGGGGAGCAAACAGGAUUA
RNAcentral lists this ribosomal RNA (434 nucleotides) under uncultured bacterium. RNAcentral describes it as "partial 16S ribosomal RNA". It matches the Rfam family "Bacterial small subunit ribosomal RNA", at positions 355 to 780 of the family's 1533-position model. The record is from RNAcentral.